Long non-coding RNA from Canis lupus familiaris (dog), 1179 nucleotides. RefSeq lists it as uncharacterized. The record is from RefSeq and is a predicted model, not a curated record. NCBI's taxonomy places the organism in Eukaryota, Metazoa, Chordata, Mammalia, Carnivora, Canidae. The transcript is spliced from 3 exons.
AGCACAGUUUCUAGUACUCAGUAAGGUCACAGUAAAUGAACUUUGAACAAAUAUAUUGAAUACUUAUAAGAUAGUCCCUGGGUUCAAGCAGCAUCAGGCAAAAUGAAUUUCAAAAUCCAGAUGUGUGGAAGAAGUAUCGCUAACUAGAGCUUCAGCAAACCCUGUUUAUGUUACUUCACAUAACAUUUGACAUGAAAGGAAAAGGAGAGGGAGAAAUACAUACAUCGGCUUUAGUAGGCUUCAGUUCUAAAUUCUCCAGGAAAAGAGAAAGUUGGUCGUUCAAAACUCACUCUCUGCGAUUGCUGUGCCUUCAAGUAGAUGAUUCCGUGAAAAUCCGCUGAGCAACUAUGAUGUCGCAAGUCCUGAGCCAGACCUGGGAGAGCUGUGGUUCUUGCCUGCAUAUAAACGUUGGUAGAUACAUGGCUACUAAUGAGAUUCCAUCUAAUCGUUCUUACUGUCCCCUGAAAACUGUAGGACUCAUUCUGCACUAAAAAUUUCUCUCAUCCAUAAGUAAUGUAGUAUUUACCAAGCACUCAGGACUCCCAAUGCACCGACUUCUACCCACAUGGGCAAUAGUGGUCAAGUGACACUGACUACCAAGCUACCAAGACGCUUGUUCUUCUCUGUUAAACAUGAAUUUUCCCCAGAUCCUGUAUCUCUGGUGACUCUGGUCUUUCGUGAAAUCUAGACUUGGAUAUCCAGUAGGAAGACGAACGUAAAAUCGUUGUCUCAGAAUUAGUAUGUCCAACAUCAUAUUUUACAUACACUCUCUAUCCUUUUUCCUAUGGUCUUCAUCCAAGAUAUUCCCUCACCGCUUACUCAGUUGUUCAUCACAGUUCCCAGGAAUUACUGCAAUCCCUUUUCUUUAACUUCCACAGCUAAUUUCUUAUCUGUUCGUUCCAAAUGCACUUUGAAGAAAUCUACUCUAUUCCACCUUCAUUGCUACUCCUCUAGUCCAAGCUCCCACUGUCACCAAUCUGGACACUAUGAUACCCAUCUUGUUGACGUUACUCCACCACUCUUGUCUUGCUACACACCAUUCAACACUAAUGGAAGGCUACUACUGAAAGCACAUUGCUCUGGGGGAAAAAAAUCAUUUAAUUGCCGUCCAUUGGAUGUUUACUUAAAAUUUAAACUUCAGGCAUGGCCUAAAAUGUGAUCUCUCAGCUGAUUAUCGAA